AUCGCUUCUCAGCCUUUUGGCUAAGAUCAAGUGUAGUUUCUGUUCUUACCAAUUUAAUAUCUAAUACGUCCUCUAUCUGAGGACGAUAUAUUAAAUAGAACAGGGAGACAGAGUAGGAGCUUGCUCCGUCCAUUCCAUGCUUCAACCUGGUAUUGCAGUACCUUCAGGAAUGGUGCACAAAAA
This 183-nucleotide small nuclear RNA is filed under the name Castor canadensis (American beaver). Its description in RNAcentral is "U2 spliceosomal RNA (ENSCCNG00000031422.1)". It matches the Rfam family "U2 spliceosomal RNA". From Rfam's summary of the family: U2 is a small nuclear RNA (snRNA) component of the spliceosome (involved in pre-mRNA splicing). The record is from Rfam by way of RNAcentral. Lineage: Eukaryota; Metazoa; Chordata; Mammalia; Rodentia; Castoridae.